Molecule: ribosomal RNA, 464 nt
Filed under: uncultured bacterium
Lineage: Bacteria
Description: partial 16S ribosomal RNA
Rfam family: Bacterial small subunit ribosomal RNA
Source: RNAcentral
CCUACGGGGGGCAGCAGUAGGGAAUUUUCGUCAAUGGGCGCAAGCCUGAACGAGCAAUGCCGCGUGAACGAGGAAGGUCUUCGGAUCGUAAAGUUCUGUUGAAGGGGAAGAAGAGCGGAGAGAGGAUAUGCUUUCUGAUUGAUAUUACCCUUCGAGGAAGUCACGGCUAACUACGUGCCAGCAGCCGCGGUAAUACGUAGGUGGCGAGCGUUAUCCGGAUUUAUUGGGGUUAAAGGGUGCGUAGGCGGUAUUUUAAGUUAGUGGUAAAACGUCGGGGCUUCACCUUGAUUGGCCAUUAAAACUGGAGUACUAGAGUACAGACGAGGGAGGCGGAAUAAGUGAAGUAGCGGUGAAAUGCUUAGAGAUAACGUAGAACCCCGAUAGCGAAGGCAGCUUCCCAGACUAUUACUGACGCUGAAGCACGAGAGCGUGGGUAGCGAACAGGAUUAGAUACCCUUGUAGUC